ACGUGUUCCGCCAGAUCGUUCCAUUGAAAAGUACAUCACUUACGUAGACGGCUUGUCACCACUGCCAAUCUGGGGCCUCCCGCGCGACCUUUCUGCCAUUGACGAAUCAAGAUUCGCUCGCAGAUACGCUAGAGCCAAGAGCUACGCCACAACGUCGUGGGUUUUGGUCAACUCGUUCGAAGAACUCGAGGGCAGUGCCACCUUCCAAGCCCUCCGAGACAUCUCUCCCAAAGCAAUCGCAGUGGGUCCUCUUUUCACCAUGGUCCCCGGCUCCAACAAGGCAAGCUUGUGGAAGGAAGACACCGAGAGUUUAUCCUGGCUCGGCAAGCAAAGUCCCGGCUCGGUUCUCUACAUUUCCUUGGGCAGCAUGGCGACUCUCAGCUUCGAUCAGUUCAAGGAGUUCUCCGAGGGACUGACGCUUCUCCAGCGUCCGUUUAUCUGGGCCAUCCGACCCAAGUCGGUCGCCGGCAUGGAGCCCGAGUUCCUGGAGCGUUUCAAGGAGGCCGUGAGGAGCUUUGGACUGGUUGUGAGCUGGGCUCCUCAGGUGGACAUCCUCCGCCACCCUUCCACGGCUGGAUUUCUCAGUCACUGCGGCUGGAACUCCAUCCUCGAGAGCGUAGCAUCCGCGGUGCCCAUGCUUUGCUGGCCGUGCGUCGCGGAGCAGAAUCUAAACUGCAAGUUGAUAGUGGAGGACUGGAAGAUCGGUCUCAAGUUCUCGUGCGUGACCAUGCUGGAUCCUCCCGAGGUGAUGGCGAGGGACGAGUUUGUGGAGGUGGUGGAGCGAUUCAUGGGAACUGACAGUGAGCAUUUGAGGAUUAACGUGAAGAAGCUGAGCGAGGAGGCUCGUAGAGCAGUGUCUAGUGGUGGCUCCUCGUAUGAAAACCUGGAGAGAUUUGCUCAAGCAGUGAAAAUUUCCUAAACUUCAAUCCACGGCUAAGAGAAAACUUCAAAGCAUCUACUCUACUCAAGAAUAUACUACUCUUUCUCUCUCUCUCUGAAGAUAAGCACGCGCUUUGCGCGUAUAAUGGGUUCCAAGAUCAAUGUUGUGGCGAUUCCUUUCCCCUCUCCACUCUUGCAUCUCUGCCAAGCUCUCACUUUCAUCCUUUGGGGGAUGCUAUCUCGAAAACACGCAACCACGAGGGAAUGUGUUAGACUUUGUCAUGUGCAAGAACCCAUGGCUAAUGUGUUAAUGUAGACUCCAAGGUGAUGCCUUAUGUCAGAAACUGCUGCGAGGAAAAGAAACUAAAGAAAAACAAAGAAAAAAUAAUAAGUGUAAAGUUCUGGAGUUAAAAAGGAAUCACAUGAGGAAACUUGAUAAAAGAAUUAAACACUAAAAAAUGAAAAAACAAAGUGAAAAAAGCUGAAGAGUAAGGAACAGCUUAUAGAAAUACUAACAAGAUUGGAAGAGCUCUAGAGGCCAGUUAUAAUGGCCAUUUGUCUCAAGUUGGUCCCUGGCAUAGAGCCCGAGUUCCUGGAGGCUUUCAAGGCUCUCCUUGAAAGUGAUCAGCUUUGGAUUGGUUGUGAGCUGGGCUCCUCAACUGGAAAUCCUCCAGCAUCUUUCCACAAGCUGCGAGAGUGUAUCUUCAGCAGUGCCAAUCCUUUGCUGGCCAUGAGUUGCCAAGCAGAAUCUCAACUGCAAGCUUAUAGUGGAAGACUGGAAGAUCGAUCUUAAGUUCUCGCCCAUGAGAUAUCCUCGCAAGGUGGUGGCAGGGACGAGUUUGUGGAGGUGGUGGAGCAACUCAUGGGAGCUGCGAGUGGCAAUUCCUUUAGAUGUAAUGUGAAGGAGCUCAGCGAGGCUGCUCAGGGAGCAACAGUGAAAGAAGGCAGGAUCUUCAUAUGAAAGUUUGGACAAGUUCGUCAAGUUUCAUAAGGUAAUUUAUAUCCAAUGCCGCAGCUGGUGGCAGGACGAUCAUCGGGCAUGAGGGCGGGGCCAAUGCACAGACAGACCAACCACCAAGAGCACAUAAAGAUGAUACUUGAAAGUGUAUAGGUUGGUGGAAGUGUUAUUUUCCUUCCCAAAGAAAUAGAUGGCGUAAUCAAGAGGAGUAAAACAUUCCUGAAGGAGAACACUAGAUUAAAACCUUUGCAAAACGCACUGAUUCUUAAGCUCAGCCUUGGAGCGAUUUCAAGCUUAUCCAGAAAAGGUAUUGUGAGAAACGGCAGCACCUUCCAGAGCACUCACGAAGUAAGCUUGAAUUUUCUUUGUUCUUCGUCAAUGGGUUCUUCUACUGGUGCCGAGGGGCUCGCUCCUCACGCAGCGGUUCUUCCCAUUCCAACGCUACGCCACAUCACUCCAUUCCUCCAUCUCUCCAGAGCUCUGGCCUCGCGAGGCUUCGUCAUAACUUUCAUCAACACGGAGGGCAACCACAGGGACUUGAAGGACAUCGUUUCACAGGAGGAGAGCUUUGGCUAUGGCGGCGGCAUUCGCUUCGAGACGGUCCCGGGCAUCCAAGCGAGCGACGUCGACUUCGCGGUCCCGGAGAAGCGGGGGAUGUUGUCCGAGGCAGUGAUGGAGAUGCAGGCUCCAGUGGAAAGCUUGCUCAUCAGGAACAUGGCCAGAGACGAUGAUCUCGUUCCUCCGGUCUCGUGCUUCAUCUCGGAUAUGUUCCCGUGGUCCGCGGAAGUAGCAAGAAGGACUGGAAUCCCAGAGGUCAAGUUCUGGAUCGCCAGUGCCUCUUGCGUUUUGCUCGAUUGCUCGUUUCCGCGAAUGCUGGAGAAGGGAGACGUUCCAGUCCAAGGUAAAGCUUCUUUCUUCUUUUUUAUUUGUCCUUCUUUCGAGAAGCACUAACGUGUUCCGCCAGAUCGUUCCAUUGAAAAGUACAUCACUUACGUAGACGGCUUGUCACCACUGCCAAUCUGGGGCCUCCCGCGCGACCUUUCUGCCAUUGACGAAUCAAGAUUCGCUGGCAGAUACGCUAGAGCCAAGAGCUUCGCCACAACGUCGUGGGUUUUGGUCAACUCGUUCGAAGAACUCGAGGGCAGUGCCACCUUCCAAGCCCUCCGAGACAUCUCUCCCAAAGCAAUCGCUGUGGGUCCUCUUUUCACCAUGGCCCCCGGCUGCAACAAGGCAAGCUUGUGGAAGGAAGACACCGAGAGUUUAUCCUGGCUCGGCAAGCAAAGUCCCGGCUCGGUUCUCUACAUUUCCUUGGGCACCAUCGCGACUCUCAGCUUCGAUCAGUUCAAGGAGUUCUCCGAGGGACUGAGGCUUCUCCAGCGUCCGUUUAUCUGGGCCAUCCGACCCAAGUCGGUCGCCGGCAUGGAGCCCGAGUUCCUGGAGCGUUUCAAGGAGGCCGUGAGGAGCUUUGGACUGGUUGUGAGCCGGGCUCCUCAGGUGGACAUCCUCCGCCACCCUUCCACGGCUGGAUUUCUCAGUCACUGCGGCUGGAACUCCAUCCUCGAGAGCGUAGCAUCCGCGGUGCCCAUGCUUUGCUGGCCGUGCGUCGCGGAGCAGAAUCUAAACUGCAAGUUGAUAGUGGAGGACUGGAAGAUCGGUCUCAAGUUCUCGUGCGUGACCAUGCCGGAUCCUCCCGAGGUGAUGGCGAGGGACGAGUUUGUGGAGGUGGUGGAGCGAUUCAUGGGAACUGACAGUGAGCAUUUGAGGAUUAACGUGAAGAAGCUGAGCGAGGAGGCUCGUAGAGCAGUGUCUAGUGGUGGCUCCUCAUAUGAAAACCUGGAGAGAUUUGCUCAAGCAGUGAAAAUUUCCUAAACUUCAAUCCAAAGCUAAGAGAAAACUUCAAAGCAUCUACUCUAUUCAAGAAUAUACUACAGUUCUUUCUCUCUCUCUCUGAAGAUAAGCACGCGCUUUGCGCGUAUAAUGGGUUCCAAGGUCAAUGUUGUCGCAAUUCCUCUCCCAGCUCAAGGCCACAUCUCUCCACUCUUGCAUCUCUGCCAAGCUCUCACUUUCAUCCUUUGGGGGAUGCUAUCUCCGAAACACACAACCAUGAGGGAAUGUGCUGGACUUUGUCACGUGCAAGAACCCAUGGCCAAUGUGCUAGUGUAGACUCCAAGGUGAUGCCUUAUGUCAGAAACUGAUGCAAAAAGAAGAAACUAAAGAAAAACAAAAAAAAUAAUAAUAAGAAGAAAGAGAGUGUAAAGUUCUGGAGUCAAAAGGGAACCAUAUGAGGAAAUUUGAUAAAAGAACUAAACACUAAAAAAUGGAAAAACAAAAAGUGAAAAAAACUAAAGAGCAAGGAACAGCUUAAAGAAGAGCUCUAGAGGCCAGUUAUAAUGGCCAUUUGUCUCAAGUUGGUCCCUGGCAUAGAGCCUGAGUUCCUGGAGGCUUUCAAGGCUCUCCUUGAAAGUGAUCAGCUUUGGACUGGUUGUGAGCUGGGCUCCUCAACCGGAAAUCCUCCAGCAUCCUUCCACAGGCUGCGAGAGUGUAUCUUCAGCAGUGCCAAUCCUUUGCUGGUCAUGAGUUGCCGAGCAGAAUCUCAACUGCAAGCUUAUAGUGGAAAACUGGAAGAUCGAUCUUAAGUUCUCACCCAUGAGAGAUCCUUGCAAGGUGGUGGCAGGGAUGAGUUUGUGGAGGUGGUGGAGCAACUCAUGGGAGCUGAGAGUGGCGAUUCCUUUAGAUGUAAUGUGAAGGAGCUCAGCGAGGCUGCUCAGGGAGCAACAGUGAAAGAAGUCAAGAUCUUCAUAUGAAAGUUUGGACAAGUUUGUCAAGUUUCAUAAGGUAAUUUAUAUCCAAUGCCGCAGCUGGUGGCAGGACGAUCAUCGGGCAUGAGGGCGGGGCCAAUGCACAGACAGACCAACCACCAAGAGCACAUAAAGAUGAUACUUGAAAGUGUAUAGGUUGGUGGAAGUGUUAUUUUCCUUCCCAAAGAAAUAGAUGGCGUAAUCAAGAGGAGUAAAACAUUCCUGAAGGAGAACACUAGAUUAAAACCUUUGCAAAACGCACUGAUUCUUAAGCUCAGCCUUGGAGCGAUUUCAAGCUUAUCCAGAAAAGGUAUUGUGAGAAACGGCAGCACCUUCCAGAGCACUCACGAAGUAAGCUUGAAUUUUCUUUGUUCUUCGUCAAUGGGUUCUUCUACUGGUGCCGAGGGGCUCGCUCCUCACGCAGCGGUUCUUCCCAUUCCAACGCUACGCCACAUCACUCCAUUCCUCCAUCUCUCCAGAGCUCUGGCCUCGCGAGGCUUCGUCAUAACUUUCAUCAACACGGAGGGCAACCACAGGGACCUGAAGGACAUCGUUUCACAGGAGGAGAGCUUUGGCUAUGGCGGCGGCAUUCGCUUCGAGACGGUCCCGGGCAUCCAAGCGAGCGACGUCGACUUCGCGGUCCCGGAGAAGCGGGGGAUGUUCUCCGAGGCAGUGAUGGAGAUGCAGGCUCCAGUGGAAAGCUUGCUCAUCAGGAACAUGGCCAGAGACGAUGAUCUCGUUCCUCCGGUCUCGUGCUUCAUCUCGGAUAUGUUCCCGUGGUCCGCGGAAGUAGCAAGAAGGACUGGAAUCCCAGAGGUCAAGUUCUGGAUCGCCAGUGCCUCUUGCGUUUUGCUCGAUUGCUCGUUUCCGCGAAUGCUGGAGAAGGGAGACGUUCCAGUCCAAGGUAAAGCUUCUUUCUUCUUUUUUAUUUGUCCUUCUUUCGAGAAGCACUAACGUGUUCCGCCAGAUCGUUCCAUUGAAAAGUACAUCACUUACGUAGACGGCUUGUCACCACUGCCAAUCUGGGGCCUCCCGCGCGACCUUUCUGCCAUUGACGAAUCAAGAUUCGCUGGCAGAUACGCUAGAGCCAAGAGCUUCGCCACAACGUCGUGGGUUUUGGUCAACUCGUUCGAAGAACUCGAGGGCAGUGCCACCUUCCAAGCCCUCCGAGACAUCUCUCCCAAAGCAAUCGCUGUGGGUCCUCUUUUCACCAUGGCCCCCGGCUGCAACAAGGCAAGCUUGUGGAAGGAAGACACCGAGAGUUUAUCCUGGCUCGGCAAGCAAAGUCCCGGCUCGGUUCUCUACAUUUCCUUGGGCACCAUCGCGACUCUCAGCUUCGAUCAGUUCAAGGAGUUCUCCGAGGGACUGAGGCUUCUCCAGCGUCCGUUUAUCUGGGCCAUCCGACCCAAGUCGGUCGCCGGCAUGGAGCCCGAGUUCCUGGAGCGUUUCAAGGAGGCCGUGAGGAGCUUUGGACUGGUUGUGAGCCGGGCUCCUCAGGUGGACAUCCUCCGCCACCCUUCCACGGCUGGAUUUCUCAGUCACUGCGGCUGGAACUCCAUCCUCGAGAGCGUAGCAUCCGCGGUGCCCAUGCUUUGCUGGCCGUGCGUCGCGGAGCAGAAUCUAAACUGCAAGUUGAUAGUGGAGGACUGGAAGAUCGGUCUCAAGUUCUCGUGCGUGACCAUGCCGGAUCCUCCCGAGGUGAUGGCGAGGGACGAGUUUGUGGAGGUGGUGGAGCGAUUCAUGGGAACUGACAGUGAGCAUUUGAGGAUUAACGUGAAGAAGCUGAGCGAGGAGGCUCGUAGAGCAGUGUCUAGUGGUGGCUCCUCAUAUGAAAACCUGGAGAGAUUUGCUCAAGCAGUGAAAAUUUCCUAAACUUCAAUCCAAAGCUAAGAGAAAACUUCAAAGCAUCUACUCUAUUCAAGAAUAUACUACAGUUCUUUCUCUCUUUCUCUGAAGAUAAGCACGCGCUUUGCGCGUAUAAUGGGUUCCAAGGUCAAUGUUGUCGCAAUUCCUCUCCCAGCUCAAGGCCACAUCUCUCCACUCUUGCAUCUCUGCCAAGCUCUCACUUUCAUCCUUUGGGGGAUGCUAUCUCCAAAACACACAACCAUGAGGGAAUGUGCUGGACUUUGUCACGUGCAAGAACCCAUGGCCAAUGUGCUAGUGUAGACUCCAAGGUGAUGCCUUAUGUCAGAAACUGAUGCAAAAAGAAGAAACUAAAGAAAAACAAAAAAAAUAAUAAUAAGAAGAAAGAGAGUGUAAAGUUCUGGAGUCAAAAGGGAACCAUAUGAGGAAAUUUGAUAAAAGAACUAAACACUAAAAAAUGGAAAAACAAAAAGUGAAAAAAACUAAAGAGCAAGGAACAGCUUAAAGAAGAGCUCUAGAGGCCAGUUAUAAUGGCCAUUUGUCUCAAGUUGGUCCCUGGCAUAGAGCCUGAGUUCCUGGAGGCUUUCAAGGCUCUCCUUGAAAGUGAUCAGCUUUGGACUGGUUGUGAGCUGGGCUCCUCAACCGGAAAUCCUCCAGCAUCCUUCCACAGGCUGCGAGAGUGUAUCUUCAGCAGUGCCAAUCCUUUGCUGGUCAUGAGUUGCCGAGCAGAAUCUCAACUGCAAGCUUAUAGUGGAAAACUGGAAGAUCGAUCUUAAGUUCUCACCCAUGAGAGAUCCUUGCAAGGUGGUGGCAGGGACGAGUUUGUGGAGGUGGUGGAGCAGCUCAUGGGAGCUGAGAAUGGCGAUUCCUUUAGAUGUAAUGUGAAGGAGCUCAGCGAGGCUGCUCAGGGAGCAACAGUGAAAGAAGGCAGGAUCUUCAUAUGAAAGUUUGGACAAGUUCGUCAAGUUUCAUAAGGUAAUUUAUAUCCAAUGCCGCAGCUGGUGGCAGGACGAUCAUCGGGUAUGAGGGCGGGGCCAAUGCACAGACAGACCAACCACCAAGAGCACAUAAAGAUGAUACUUGAAAGUGUAUAGGUUGGUGGAAGUGUUAUUUUCCUUCCCAAAGAAAUAGAUGGCAUAAUCAAGAGGACUAAAAAAUUCCUGAAGGAGAACACUAGAAUAAAACCUUUGCAAAACGCACUGAUUCUUAAGCUCAGCCUUGGAGCCAGAAAGAAACGGCAGCACCUUCAUGAAGUAAGCUUGAAUUUCCUUUGUUCUUCGUCAAUGGGUUCUUCUACUGGUGCCGAGGGGCUCGCUCCUCACGCAGCGGUUCUUCCCAUUCCAACUCUAGGCCACAUCACUCCAUUCCUCCAUCUCUCUAGAGCUCUGGCCUCGCGAGGCUUCGUCAUAACUUUUAUCAACACGGAGGGCAACCACAGGGACUUGAAGGACAUCGUUUCACAGGAGGAGAGCUUUGGCUCUGGUGGCAGCAUUCGUUUCGAGACGGUCCCCGGGGUCCAAACGAGCGAGGCCGACUUCACGGCCCCGGAGACGCGGCCAAUGUUCUUCGAGGCAUUGAUGGCGAUGCAGGGUCCAGUGGAGAGCUUGCUCGUCAGGAGCAUGGCAAGAGACGAUGAUCUCGUUCCUCCGGUCUCAUGCUUCAUCUCGGAUAUGUUGUUCCCGUGGUCCACGGAAGUACCCAGAAGGAUCGGAAUCCCAGAGGUCAAGUUCUGGGUCGCCAGUGCUUCUUGCGUUUUGCUCUACUCCUCGUAUCCCCAAAUGCUGGAGAAGGGAGACAUUCCAGUCCAAGGUAAAGCUGCUUUCUUCUUUUUUAUUUUUCCUUCUUUCGAGAAGCACUGACGUCCAUAUACGUGUUCCACCAGAUCGUUCCAUUGAGAAGCGCAUAACUUACGUAGACGGCUUGUCACCACUACCAAUGUGGAGCCUCCCGGGCGACUUUUCUGCCAGUGACGACGACCCGGGAUUCGCUCGCGGAUACGCCAGAGCCAAGAGCUUCGCCACAACGUCGUGGGUUUUGGUCAACUCGUUCGAAGAACUCGAGGGCAGUGCCACCUUCCAAGCUCUCCGAGACAUCUCUCCCAAAGCAAUCGCAGUGGGUCCACUUUCCACCAUGGUCCCCGGCUCCAGCAAUGCAAGCUUGUGGACGGA
RNAcentral lists this long non-coding RNA (8666 nucleotides) under Selaginella moellendorffii. Its description in RNAcentral is "long non-coding RNA (SMOE_LNC000745)". Lineage: Eukaryota; Viridiplantae; Streptophyta; Lycopodiopsida; Selaginellales; Selaginellaceae. The record is from RNAcentral.